GUCCACACCGUAAACGUUUGGCGCUAGGUGUGGGAUCCAUUCCACGGGUUCCGUGCCGCAGCUAACGCAUUAAGCGCCCCGCCUGGGGAGUACGGCCUCAAGGCUAAAACUCAAAGGAAUUGACGGGGGCCCGCACAAGCGGCGGAGCAUGCGGAUUAAUUCGAUGCAACGCGAAGAACCUUACCUGGGUUUGACAUACCGAGAAAUCCAUCAGAGAUGGUGGGUCCGUAAGGGUUCGGUACAGGUGGUGCAUGGCUGUCGU
RNAcentral lists this ribosomal RNA (262 nucleotides) under uncultured bacterium. RNAcentral describes it as "partial 16S ribosomal RNA". It matches the Rfam family "Bacterial small subunit ribosomal RNA", at positions 793 to 1055 of the family's 1533-position model. The record is from RNAcentral.